AUGGCUCUCCGUCUUCACCACCGACCCCUCCUCCUCCUCCUCCUCCUCCUCCUCGUGCUAUCCACCGCCUCCGCCACGCACUCGCCGGAGAGCGCCACCGCCUCCGCCUCCGCCCGCGCCCACCACCACCACCACCGCUCGCCGUUCGGCACGGCCACCGCCCACUUCCACCCCGUCCCUAGCGCCGCGCCCUCCAUGCACCAAAACCACCUCCACGCCGACACCCAGUCCCUGCUCGCCACCGGCGACGUCGACCCCGUCCUCGCCGACGCGCAGGCCACGGACGCGGCGGAGGCCCGUCCCACUCCGCUCGUGCCGCCCCAGGCCGAAGCGGCAUCACCGCCUCCCACGCUCGUCCUCCCGGUGCCGGAUCUCGCGGAGGCGACGCCGACGACGCCCGCUGCAGCGACGACAACGACGACCAGCACGCUUCUCCCGCUCCCUGCCACGGUGGCGACGACCACGAGCCCGCCUCCGCCUCCCGCCGUGUCCGACGCCGAGCAGGGGCUGCAGCAGCUCUCCAGGGUGCUCACCUCGCUGGGGUACAACGAGAUGGCGUCGGAGGCGCCGCUCCUCGCCCACGCGCCGCCGCUCGCGAGGUGGCCCGGGGCCAUCACCGUCUUCGCGGCCCCCGACGCCUUCCUCCAGGCCGCCUGCCCCAUGUGCUCGCGCCGCCACCUCCUCGAGCAGCACAUCGCCAUGGGCUACUACCCCUACUCCGAGCUCGCCGCCGCAGCCACCAUGAAGAUCCCCUCCGCCUCCGUCGGCUUCUGCAUCAAGGUCGCCACCGAGCGGGGCCCCUUCGGCAUCCACUACGCCAGGAUCUACGCCGACGGCGUCGAGGUGUCCCACCCAGAGCUCUACAACGACGGCCGCUACGUCGUCCACGGCCUCCACGGCUUCCUGCGCCCGCUCACGCACUCCUGCUUCGACGGCCCGCACCACCAUCACCUCACCGGCCGCUCCGCCGCAGCCUCCGCGGCCACCGCUGCCUCCGUGGUGCGCAUCAUGAUCCGCGACGCCAUGGCGCGACUCCGCGACGGGGGCUACGGCUUCAUGGCGCUGGCCAUGCGCGUCAAGUUCGCCGAGCUCGAGAAGUUCGCCAACCUGACGCUCUUCGCGCUCGACGACCCGGCCAUCUUCGUCGGCGGAGGCCACGACUACGUCUCGGCGGUGCGCUUCCACAUCGUCCCCAACCACCGCCUCACGCGCGCAGACCUCCACCGCCUCCGCCCCGGCACGGUCCUCCCCACUCUGGCCGGCGAGGGCCAGAGCCUCGUCGUCACCCACUACGCCACCGGCUCCGCCUCCUCCAACGACGACGUCCGCGUCAACUACAUACCCAUCAAGGAGCCCGACGUGGUGGUCAACUCGCGCAUCGCCGUCCACGGCGUCUACGUGCCGUUCCCCCGCCUCCACCUCGCCGACCUCGCCGUCGCGUCCGCCACCGACCAGACGAACGGCACCUGCGGCGUCGGGGGGCCCUUCGGCGACUGCGCCUCCUCAGCGAUCACCUCUCCCGGCGAGUGA
This 1530-nucleotide ribosomal RNA is filed under the name Triticum aestivum (bread wheat). RNAcentral's name for it is "partial small subunit ribosomal RNA". Lineage: Eukaryota; Viridiplantae; Streptophyta; Magnoliopsida; Poales; Poaceae. The record is from RNAcentral.